UACGUAGGGUGCAAGCGUUAAUCGGAAUUACUGGGCGUAAAGCGUGCGCAGGCGGUGAUGUAAGACAGAUGUGAAAUCCCCGGGCUCAACCUGGGAACUGCAUUUGUGACUGCAUCGCUGGAGUGCGGCAGAGGGGGGAUGGAAUUCCGCGUGUAGCAGUGAAAUGCGUAGAUAUGCGGAGGAACACCGAUGGCGAAGGCAAUCCCCUGGGCCUGCACUGACGCUCAUGCACGAAAGCGUGGG
RNAcentral lists this ribosomal RNA (243 nucleotides) under uncultured bacterium. Its description in RNAcentral is "partial 16S ribosomal RNA". It matches the Rfam family "Bacterial small subunit ribosomal RNA", at positions 524 to 765 of the family's 1533-position model. The record is from RNAcentral.